GCUUCACAUAGUAAGUUUGAAACUGUUUUUAUAACACUUUUUCCUCCCUCAGUGUUAUUUAUUGCAAAUCAGUUCAAAAAUAAAUUGAAUUAAUUUUUUGAAAAAUUCAUAUACUGCCAGGACCGUGAUAAAUUUAAUUUGUAAUUGUAAUAAAAUGAGAUAAAUUAAUUCAGAAAACAAAGAAGCUGAAAAGGAGAGAGGCAAAUUAUGAGAAUCAAGAGGGAAAAUAAAUAUCAUUAAGUAGCACUGUGCUGCAUGUUACUUUGUUUCCAACAAUAUAAAUCCCAAAAUGAAAACGAGUUACUUGGGAGCAGGGGACUAUAUUUGUAUAAGUAUCCCGAGGAGGAUUUGACUGCAAUAAACAAGGUUUAAAACAUGUUGAGCCUUGGGGAUUAUAGGUGAAAGAUCACGUGUUUGGUCUUUUGUCUUGCGAUAUCCCGCAAGGAAUUGACUGCCAGCCUCCAUUUGAUAUAGAUGCAGAAUGUGGACCACCAGCCAUCGAACGCGUUAGACAGAAUGGCUCAUCAGCAUCGUUCGAGGGAGUGAUAGAAAGUCAAUAAACAGCAUAAUCAGAAGAACGAUUGCUGUUCAGCUCCUCCUAUAUCUGGCAUCUCCUAAUUUCCAAAAAGUAGGGAUAAUCCAGUAAAUAAGGUCCAAACUUCAUUACCACCUGCGCUGGCAGAGAAGACCAAAAGAGAGAUGCAAGAAAGAGGAGAAUCACCAUUAAUUUCUCCUCCUGUGACUUUACAACUAUCACCCAUUUCCAUCAAGACAAAUGAAGGAACUGCAACUUGGUCUUCUGACUAAAGGAAGGGUAACUCCCAUACAAAAGGAAUCAAGUUCCUGAUGGGGAGUGAGCACUUUUUGGAGAAGAAACUCCUCUCAAAAUCUCACACUGACAGUCACUCACUUAUAAAAGGCUUGCGCAAGAUAAUAGGACACAUUAAUAAUAUCACAGUUUUGUCUACUAGUAAUUAUUUCUAUAGCCUCCUGUACGUAAGGGUGGGCUGGGGUUAUAAGUGGUUUCAAAAUCCUCGCUUGGCUCCAGUCAGUGUAAAGACUUAGAACUGUGAACUAUUGGUGUCAUCCAAUAGUGUUUGUCAAAGUCAAGACCCAUCAAGAAUCUUUGUACAUUUGAGGUAUUUAUCCUCUUGAUUUGGGUUAUGAUGUAAUUAUCUCUCUCUCUCUCUCUUUCAAAUAAAGAUCCGAAGUGUCAGCCAUACAAGUUGCUUAUCAUUGUGUUCCUGAGCACUUCUCCAUCCUUACCCACAAAUACAACUCACAUAUCAUUGCCCGCUAGGCAAACCCAAUCUGACACCAGUCAGUAUUGUUCACACUGAUACUGACUGGUGUCAGAUGUUGACAAUAUCCAUGCAAGGCUAAGGCCUGUGAAAUUAUAUUGCCCACUGGCAUCCCACAAUACUAAUUAAUUUGUUUAGAUAUUCAGUGUCUACUUCCAAAAUACACUAACAAGGGGAGGUCGCAGCUAUCGGGUCCGGGAUUUGGACAGUUUUUAUAUGUGUUGGUCUACAGUCGAAAUAAGGAGGCGCGUGUUCGAGCUUUCCUUCGAGUGCGCCUUGGGGCAUGCAGGAUCGGUUUCAGAAGGUCUUGGGUUUUUGAUGUCACUGCUGUAUACUAUUAA
Molecule: long non-coding RNA, 1642 nt
Filed under: Androctonus crassicauda
Lineage: Eukaryota; Metazoa; Arthropoda; Arachnida; Scorpiones; Buthidae
Source: RNAcentral